CCAUGUGCGUGUACGUUAGCCUCUCAAAUGCCCUUCACCUCCAAUACCUUUUGAGCUCAUCAACCAAUCUCAAGCCAACCUUGCUGAAGGAUAUGAGCAUUGGAGAUACAGUGUUCUUACAAGUGUCAUGAAAAUAUGUGCUCGCAGAAAAGAUGUGCUGUUCAUUCUGCCGCUGACAAGAAAAGCUAACAAACUUGCCCUUUUCAGACUUCAGGGAACCCAGGAUACUGGAGACCAUAUUCCAUUAUUUCUGCAGCUUGUGAACGUGUUUGUUUCAUCUUGUUGAGGCAUAAUCUGACAUCUGCUGGACUGAGCCCACUGAAAGGGGAUGAUCAGCAGCCAUUGUCCAGUGAUCCAUGCUGGAUGCAAGAAGCAGAUCGAGUCUUAAUUCUCCUGCUGUUCCAGCUGCCCAGCACACUCUCCUAGCCUGCAGUUCAAGAGUUGCGUACCGCCAUUAUGCUGCAAACAAUUCCUCCUGAUACACGCUCAGUGCUUCAAGAGAAGCCUCAAGCUGGCUUUUCUCCCUUCUGUCAGAGUCCCCGUCGCCUACCACCAGCAGUGAGCAAGAAGAGAGCCAGCACAGCAGGAGAACUACAGUCUACAGGAUCUCCGGCUUUGAAAUGUUGAUACAUAUUCAUUGCAGCUUCUAAGACUUGAAAGGCAUAGCUAAAGGGAGAGCUCUGAUCAACAAGAAUGUGAAAGCAGCAACGAAAGCAGGAUACAUGGAUGCAAGCUCAGUGAGUAAGCAGCAUUUGAACAGUUAGCACAGUGAAUGAGGCAACGGGAGAUCUGAAUUCUGGUUCUGGUUCUGCUGCCUCUGAUGGCUGCAGACAAGAUCGUGUGCCUCAGCUCCUCUAGCUGCAGGAUAUAUGCAGCAGCAAAGCUUCAGCACUCUGAAGCAUCAUGCUAAUAAAUGCAGUCUGAAACUGGUGACA
Molecule: long non-coding RNA, 935 nt
Filed under: Phasianus colchicus (ring-necked pheasant)
Lineage: Eukaryota; Metazoa; Chordata; Aves; Galliformes; Phasianidae
Description: lncRNA (ENSPCLG00000020827.1)
Source: RNAcentral